RNAcentral lists this ribosomal RNA (253 nucleotides) under uncultured bacterium. RNAcentral's name for it is "partial 16S ribosomal RNA". It matches the Rfam family "Bacterial small subunit ribosomal RNA", at positions 524 to 776 of the family's 1533-position model. The record is from RNAcentral.
UACGUAGGUGGCAAGCGUUAUCCGGAAUUAUUGGGCGUAAAGCGCGCGCAGGUGGUUUCUUAAGUCUGAUGUGAAAGCCCACGGCUCAACCGUGGAGGGUCAUUGGAAACUGGGAGACUUGAGUGCAGAAGAGGAAAGUGGAAUUCCAUGUGUAGCGGUGAAAUGCGUAGAGAUCUGGAGGAACACCAGUGGCGAAGGCGACUUUCUGGGCUGUAACUGACACUGAGGCGCGAAAGCGUGGGGAGCAAACAGG